UACGUAGGGUGCAAGCGUUAAUCGGAAUUACUGGGCGUAAAGCGUGCGCAGGCGGCUUUGCAAGACAGAUGUGAAAUCCCCGGGCUUAACCUGGGAACUGCAUUUGUGACUGCAUGGCUGGAGUGCGGCAGAGGGGGAUGGAAUUCCGCGUGUAGCAGUGAAAUGCGUAGAUAUGCGGAGGACCACCGCUGGCGAAGGCAAUCCCCUGGGCCUUCCCUGACGCUCAUGCACGAAAGCGUGGGGAGCAAACAGG
RNAcentral lists this ribosomal RNA (253 nucleotides) under uncultured bacterium. RNAcentral's name for it is "partial 16S ribosomal RNA". It matches the Rfam family "Bacterial small subunit ribosomal RNA", at positions 524 to 776 of the family's 1533-position model. The record is from RNAcentral.